Molecule: ribosomal RNA, 253 nt
Filed under: uncultured bacterium
Lineage: Bacteria
Description: partial 16S ribosomal RNA
Rfam family: Bacterial small subunit ribosomal RNA
Source: RNAcentral
UACGUAGGGUGCGAGCGUUAAUCGGAAUUACUGGGCGUAAAGCGUGCGCAGGCGGCUUUGCAAGACAGAUGUGAAAUCCCCGGGCUUAACCUGGGAACUGCAUUCGUGACUGCAUGGCUGGAGUGCGGCAGAGGGGGAUGGAAUUCCGCGUGUAGCAGUGAAAUGCGUAGAUAUCGGGAAGAACACCUGUGGCGAAGGCGGCUCUCUGGGACGGUACUGACGCUGAGACGCGAAAGCGUGGGGAGCAAACAGG